CAACCCUCAGGUCCCGCGCCUGGUGUUGGGGCCCUGCGCGGCAGGCCCCGAAAGACAGCGGCGGGUGCGUCCCGGAACCGAACGCAGUAGCUAUACCUCGUUCCGGCCCGGUGGCGUACGCCAGCCGUAAAACGCUCUCCAGCUUUUUACCAAAG
RNAcentral lists this unclassified non-coding RNA (155 nucleotides) under uncultured Chaetosphaeriales. RNAcentral describes it as "sequence contains ITS2". The record is from RNAcentral. Lineage: Eukaryota; Fungi; Ascomycota; Sordariomycetes.